Molecule: ribosomal RNA, 253 nt
Filed under: uncultured bacterium
Lineage: Bacteria
Description: partial 16S ribosomal RNA
Rfam family: Bacterial small subunit ribosomal RNA
Source: RNAcentral
GACAGAGGCCUCAAGCGUUAGGCGGAAUCACUGGGCUUAAAGCGUGUGUAGGCGGAUCGUUAAGUGUCUUGUGAAAUCCCACGGCUCACCCGUGGAACUGCUGGGCAUACUGGCGAUCUUGGGCCAACUAGGGGCAACUGGAACAAGCGGUGGAGCGGUGAAAUGCGUAGAUAUUGUAAGGAACACCCGUGGCGAAAGCGGCUCACUGGGUCUUUUCUGACGCUGAUGCACGAAAGCUAGGGGAGCAAACGGG